Molecule: ribosomal RNA, 813 nt
Filed under: uncultured bacterium
Lineage: Bacteria
Description: bacterial SSU rRNA
Rfam family: Bacterial small subunit ribosomal RNA
Source: RNAcentral
AGAGUUUGAUCAUGGCUCAGAACGAACGCUGGCGGCGUGCCUAACACAUGCAAGUCGAACGGAAUUGAGGGGCUUGCUCUUCAAUUUAGUGGCGCACGGGUGAGUAACGCGUGGAUAACCUACCCUGGUAUCCGGGAUAACAUCUCGAAAGGGGUGCUAAUACGGGAUAAGCCCACGGGGUCUUCGGACCCUGCGGGAAAAGGUGGCCUCUAUUUAUAAGCUACCGUAUCAGGAUGGGUCCGCGUACCAUUAGCUAGUUGGUGGGGUAAAGGCCUACCAAGGCGACGAUGGUUAGCUGGUCUGAGAGGAUGAUCAGCCACACUGGAACUGAGACACGGUCCAGACUCCUACGGGAGGCAGCAGUGGGGAAUUUUGCGCAAUGGGGGAAACCCUGACGCAGCAACGCCGCGUGAGUGAUGAAGGCCUUCGGGUCGUAAAGCUCUGUCAGUGGGAAAGAAAUGUAUAGUGGUUAAUACCCAUUAUACUUGACGGUACCCACAAAGGAAGCACCGGCUAACUCCGUGCCAGCAGCCGCGGUAAUACGGAGGGUGCGAGCGUUGUUCGGAAUUAUUGGGCGUAAAGCGCGUGUAGGCGGCUCCUUAAGUCUGAUGUGAAAGCCCCGGGCUCAACCUGGGAAGUGCAUUGGAAACUGGGGAACUUGAAUACGGGAGAGGGUAGUGGAAUUCCUGGUGUAGGAGUGAAAUCCGUAGAUAUCAGGAGGAACACCGGUGGCGAAGGCGGCUGCCUGGACCGAUAUUGACGCUGAGACGCGAAAGCGUGGGGAGCAAACAGGAUUAGAUACCCUAGUAGUCC